Long non-coding RNA from Homo sapiens (human), 390 nucleotides. The record is from Ensembl. NCBI's taxonomy places the organism in Eukaryota, Metazoa, Chordata, Mammalia, Primates, Hominidae.
GCAGAGAGGAAGGCUGCCUGCAAGCAGCACAGGUCAAUGUGGCUGCAGGGAAGCUCAUCCUUUCUCAGAAUGGCCCUACUUGCCCGAUCUCAUGGCUGGCCCUUCAGGACCAUUGAUGGGCUGCCAGCCGCCUCCUCUACCGGGUGUUGUCUGGGAACUCAAACACUCCCUCCAUCUGAAGGUUUUCUGGGACCUCAACAAACUCCUCCACUGGAGUGUCCUCUGGGAACUCAAGCACCUCUUGCACUGGAGAGUCCCCUGAAAACUUAACCACCUCCUCCACUCGAUUGUUCUCCAGGGCCUCAUCCAGCUCCUGCAGCUGUCAGUCCUCUCAGACCUCAUCCACCUGCAGCUGUCAGUCCUCUCAGACCUCAUCAACCUGCAGCUGUC